UGCUCUCGCAUUCGAUUAGAGUUUGAUCCUGGCUCAGGACGAUCGCUCGCGGCGUGCUUAAUACAUGCAAGUCAUAGGGUUUACUUCCCUUCGGGGGAGUAGGCACUGGCGCACGGGUGAGUAACACGUAAGUCAUCUGCCCUUGGGUCUGGCAUAACAUCGGGAAACCGGUGCUAAUUCCAGAUGAUAUCGAAAGAUCAAAGUUCCGACGCCCAAGGAUGAGCUUGCGUCUGAUUAGCUUGUUGGCGGGGUAAUGGCCCACCAAGGCUACGAUCAGUAGCCGGUCUGAGAGGAUGAUCGGCCACAUUGGGACUGAGACACGGCCCAGACUCCUACGGGAGGCAGCAGUAAGGAAUAUUGCGCAAUGGACGAAAGUCUGACGCAGCAACGCCGCGUGCAGGAUGAAGGCCCUUCGGGUCGUAAACUGCUGUAGCAGGGACUAAUGACCACCUCGGGUGGGAGUGAAGGUACCCUGAAAGUAAGCUCCGGCUAACUACGUGCCAGCAGCCGCGGUAAUACGUAGGAGCAAGCGUUGUCCGGAUUCACUGGGUGUAAAGGGUGCGCAGGCGGACUUGUAAGUCAGAGGUGAAAUCUUACGCUUACCGUGAAACUGCCUUUGAUACUGCAGGUCUUGAGUUUGGGAGAGGUUGAUGGAAUUCCAGGUGUAGCGUGAAAUGCGUAAAUAUCUGGGAAGAAC
RNAcentral lists this ribosomal RNA (697 nucleotides) under uncultured soil bacterium. RNAcentral's name for it is "bacterial SSU rRNA". It matches the Rfam family "Bacterial small subunit ribosomal RNA", at positions 1 to 707 of the family's 1533-position model. The record is from RNAcentral.